Felis catus (domestic cat) is the source of this 1969-nucleotide long non-coding RNA. RefSeq lists it as uncharacterized. NCBI's taxonomy places the organism in Eukaryota, Metazoa, Chordata, Mammalia, Carnivora, Felidae. The transcript has 3 exons. The record is from RefSeq and is a predicted model, not a curated record.
UGGCUGGGGAAGAAUCACCUGUAGAGCGGGCUUGGGAGAGCCUAGGCCACUUUGUUCCGCUCUCCAGGUGACCCCGACAUGCAGCCAGGACGGGGGCCUCCCAUCUAGAUGCGAGUUGACGGUUCAGCCCAGCAUCCUGAGCCAACUCCAGCCUAUCAGUGUCGUCAGUCAGAAGCUCCCAGUGGUGUCCCAGGGGCGCCAACACUCAAGGAAAAGCUGAUCCAGUCUGUCUGCUAUCAUCUCUCAGCCACACUCCCCAGCUCGAGAGGCAACAGUGAUUUCCCGGGGCAGCAAGGUGGACCAGUGCUCUAGCUGGACAUUCAAGGCCUCUGGAACUAGAGGAAGUGGAGACCGGGAGCUCAGACCUGAGCUGCCCCAGUUCCUUUUGCAGCAGCUCUAUGUCUUUGCCCGUCUCCAAGUCUCAGUUUGCCCAUCUGUGAAAAGGGUGGGUUGGCCAAUUUGAGCUCUCCAUUCUCGCCAGCCUGAGCUGCCAGUGGUUUGGCCAAUCUUCCCGUCCAGGUGACCCCUCCUGCGUCUCACACACACGAACCCCUACCGCUAGAUGCUGCCCUCGCAACCCUCCAACCUCCAGGUGAGCCUUUGCCCUCCCAUGAAAUGUCCUCCAGGCCACCCUCAUCUCUGCUUGUGGAAGUCCUGACCCUCCAGACAUCCCAGCCUGAAGCCCUAUGGUUGUCCGGUGCACUUGGUGGAGCUGUCUUCUAGAACGUCAGCGGGGGUGGGGGUCCCAACUGCCACUUGGUGAUGACAACGGCCGUCAUGCAGCACCUGACUCUCCAGGGCCCCUGCCCCGCCCUGAUGUCAUUGGUUGCCCCCAACAAGGAGUCACAUCUACCCGUGGCGCCCACGGGAGUGGGGACAGUGGAGUCACGAGGUGAACUGACAUGCCCAAGGCCACACAGUUCCUAACGGUCAGAGCCAAAACUUGAAUGGCCAGCUAGUUCCAGGAAUCCCCUUAUCACCCGGUUACUUCUAGCCAGGUCCGCUCCGCCAGGAGCUUCAAUCCACUGUGUGCCCAGAGAUACUCAACUACAGAUAUCCCUCGCGUCGCCCUAGGGAAUGAUUCGUCCAGUGGGAGACCGGGCAGAAGGAAUCCGGGAUGUGGACUAACCCCGCGGGGCUGCCCCUGGAGAAGAGGCCUGUGAUUGUCCAGGUCUGUCUGUGCCUGGAGGGUAAGUCAGGAGAAGGGGCGAGACCACUGUCCCCCGAGCCACACUCUCCACGACUCUAUCUGCCCGAUUCCUGUGCUACUGCUUAGCGGGUCCCAGACCAGCGUGGGGCGCAGAGCCCUAAAAUAAUACACGAACCUCUUUCUCUUGUUCGCAUCCACUCAAGAUCUUCCCAAUAUAGCAGCCCAGAGUCUGUCAACAGUUCUGUUCCAUGCCUACUUCCCCUCCCCAAAGGAUGCCAAGUCUGCUGGCCCCUCCCUCGAUGGGGGCAUCUCCCGUCAUGCCUCACUCUCAGCCCCGGCAAGAGGAGACCUCCCCAGAGGUGCUUGGAGAAGCCACCCCAGCUUCCGUCGUCUGGGUCCCUUGGAUGGGACCCGGGCCAGGGUGCAUCUGAGCGGCACUAGGGAAGAGGAGUCCAGGCGACCGGGGAUCGGCUGGACGUGGGGAAGAGGGGAGCGGAAACUGAAGGUGACACUUGGGGCUCUGACUUGAAAUGACUCAGGGAAGAUGGUCCUAUUCACUGAGGUGGGGGGUCCCGGAGAAGGAGCGGUUUGGGGACGGAGAAAGAGAGAUGAGCUUGAGAUCCAGGGAGACAGAGAGGACUGAGAGCUCCUCAAGGGAAUGUCCUUGUGCACAUGCGGACUGGAAGCUCAGGAGAGAGGUCUGGACUUGAAGAAGGUGCCAGAAGGUGGAAUGCAGUCAUCCACGGGAGCACACCCAUUUGCUCCAGUAGCAUUCGGCAGUCAGCGUUGUCACUAAAGCAAUCCCAAUGACUCACUUUA